This is a ribosomal RNA of 1086 nucleotides. It matches the Rfam family "Bacterial small subunit ribosomal RNA", at positions 51 to 1135 of the family's 1533-position model.
ANANAUGCAGUCGACGGUAGCAGGAAGGAAGCUUGCUUUCUUUGCUGACGAGUGGCGGACGGGUGAGUAAUGCUUGGGAAUCUGGCUUAUGGAGGGGGAUAACUGCGGGAAACUGCAGCUAAUACCGCGUAAAGUCUUUGGACUAAAGGGGGCGUUUGCUCUUGCCAUAAGAUGAGCCCAAGUGGGAUUAGGUAGUUGGUGGGGUAAUGGCUCACCAAGCCGUCGAUCUCUAGCUGGUCUGAGAGGAUGACCAGCCACACCGGGACUGAGACACGGCCCGGACUCCUACGGGAGGCAGCAGUGGGGAAUAUUGCGCAAUGGGGGGAACCCUGACGCAGCCAUGCCGCGUGAAUGAAGAAGGCCUUCGGGUUGUAAAGUUCUUUCGGUGAUGAGGAAGGCAGUUUGGUUAAUAGCCAAGCUGAUUGACGUUAGUCACAGAAGAAGCACCGGCUAACUCCGUGCCAGCAGCCGCGGUAAUACGGAGGGUGCGAGCGUUAAUCGGAAUAACUGGGCGUAAAGGGCACGCAGGCGGAUUUUUAAGUGAGGUGUGAAAGCCCCGGGCUUAACCUGGGAAUUGCAUUUCAGACUGGGAAUCUAGAGUACUUUAGGGAGGGGUAGAAUUCCACGUGUAGCGGUGAAAUGCGUAGAGAUGUGGAGGAAUACCGAAGGCGAAGGCAGCCCCUUGGGAAUGUACUGACGCUCAUGUGCGAAAGCGUGGGGAGCAAACAGGAUUAGAUACCCUGGUAGUCCACGCUGUAAACGCUGUCGAUUUGGGGGUUGGGGUUUAACUCUGGCGCCCGUAGCUAACGUGAUAAAUCGACCGUCUGGGGAGUACGGCCGCAAGGUUAAAACUCAAAUGAAUUGACGGGGGCCCGCACAAGCGGUGGAGCAUGUGGUUUAAUUCGAUGCAACGCGAAGAACCUUACCUACUCUUGACAUCCAGAGAAUCCUGUAGAGAUACGGGAGUGCCUUAGGGAGCUUUGAGACAGGUGCUGCAUGGCUGUCGUCAGCUCGUGUUGUGAAAUGUUGGGUUAAGUCCCGCAACGAGCGCAACCCUUAUCCUUUGUUGCCAGCGAUACGGUCGGG